CAUUUUCUACAAGACCCCAAGAGAUGGACUUUCCUCUCCCCUUCCUCCUUUUAGAAAUGGCAUCCUUCAUCUCUGUCUAGGCAGGCCCAAUUAUCCAGAUACUUGGGGCUCCAAUAGGGUCUGAGUCAUUGGAACCAGGAACACCUGGCUGAAACAUGCCACAUAAUUAGAUUUUCUUUUUCUUUACCUUUUCUUUCUUAUUUUUAUAAGAGGCCCGGAAUUAGCCUCUUCGACUGGGGCGGAGUAGCUGGGGUGUGGGAAAGGAACACCUUCAUACAACUUCCAGCUUUCAGCCCCUUGGAGAGAUUUCCAAAUUCCCCAGAGCCUCUAGGACUUCCUUUCCUCGAUCUCUCGGCCACCUCCUCCUCCUUCUCCGAUCUGUUUUUUUUUCCCUCCUCCCACUGUCUUCUCUAUGGUUUAAUCAAAGUUCAGCGACUCCACUUGCCUCUCCUCUCAUUUCUUUCGGAAAGGGGAAACCAGACGACCCAGCGGCCACGGGACGAGUCGCCCCAACUCAACCCCAGCAGGACGCUGGAGGGGCCUCCCUUGCCCACCUCUCUUCGCUGGCACUGGCCUCCUGCACCCGGGUCUGCAGUCCCUCCGCCAUCUCACAAGUGUGCAGCCGCUAGGCCUGGGGGAUCCGAAUGACUGGGGCUGGAUAGGAAUGCCUUCGUGUUUCCCAAGACCCCCGGGCCUGCUCCACAAAGUUUGAAGGGUGGGUACACCCCGACCCAGGCAAGUUACUCCCCCAAACCCAUGACUGACUAAUCUGAUAUGACAAAAGCCCAUGAUGGAUUUGGUAUAUGUUAAUUCACAAUGCCCUUUCCUCCAGAAUUUAACUAUAAGUUAAUACACACCGGAAACCACGCGCAUGCACGCUCCUUAAUGGGCUUAGGUAUUAGCGAGUCCUAACGAUGCAUACAAAUGUGCUCUGCGCUCUGUAGACCCCUCAAGAUUUAUGGGCCUUGAGCUCUCUGAAGCUGUAAACAAGGAGAAAAAAAAAAGAGAAAGCGAAAGCGACUGGGGGGAAGAGACAGAGGCCUGACUCGCCCCUCCAGGUUUUGGAGAGAAGGGAUUCUUUAUGUAUUUUCCUUUCCUUGCAAGCUCGGAGCCCCUGUUUUAAGAAGGAGGCCAAAUGUGCAGGCUCAGGCCAAGCAGCAGAGAUGAAUGAGGUGAUGACCACAGCCUUGAUCCGGCAGGAGCUCAGAGAUGCCCGGGAAGACGGGGGGCCCGAAUGGAAGCAGAAAAACACUUAUGGCCGCUGGGAAGUUGGGAGAGCCAGGCUGGGACUCCGGCAGGCCCAGGGAAAGUUCCCCUUCUAGGCUCUUUAUUAAAAAAUUUAAAAGGAGGAGUUGAGGCGCCUUGAAUUUUCCUUCGCGAGUUUGGAGACCAGCCGAUUUUUCACGAAGCAAGCAAAGACCGCGGUCCCGGAUCCUGCAACAUAUACCUCAUUUUCUCCAGGCCUCUCCACUUGCCCGAGCUCUCAGCCACCAGGAGACAGACGGAAGGGGCUUCUGGGCUGUGUUGGGAGCGGGCAUUGUCCCCUACCCACUCCUGCACAGUUUCCCAAAGUCCAGCCACCUCCGACCCUCCUUGGGGGAAAAAAUACCAGUACCCAGACACCUCUGCACCCUGUUAUAUGACUGGGCUUGCUUCAGGAAUAUCUUACAAAGAAGAAGGAGGAGGAGGAGGAACGGCUUGGAGUCAUGUUUACAUCUAGUUCUACUGAUCCGUUCACAUCUGGAGAGUUUAUUUAUAACUCCCUCUAUAACUCUCUGUUUGGAGGCACUGGUGGCUCUACUGACAGACUGAUGUCUAGGAAAUAUUGCUCUAUGUCUAAUGGUACCUAAAUGUGCUGUGGUUGUAUUUACAGAUUUACGUUUGAGGGAAAUAUAAUUAUUUCCAUUGUA
This 1910-nucleotide long non-coding RNA is filed under the name Homo sapiens (human). Its description in RNAcentral is "HSALNT0352117". Lineage: Eukaryota; Metazoa; Chordata; Mammalia; Primates; Hominidae. The record is from RNAcentral.